Molecule: long non-coding RNA, 5408 nt
Filed under: Vigna radiata
Lineage: Eukaryota; Viridiplantae; Streptophyta; Magnoliopsida; Fabales; Fabaceae
Description: long non-coding RNA (VRAD_LNC004109)
Source: RNAcentral
AGAUAACUUCCAGAAGCAGAAUAUGAAAACAGAAUAUCACAACAGUAAGAUCUGUAAUAGUAGAAUUCUAUGUUUUUAUUGAACUUUAAACUGAAAGAGAGAAUGUAAAGCUUUAAUACACCCAAUAAUGGUAUAUUUCACUUAAGGAGCAGAUUCCACCAAUGAUAUAUUCUGGAACAAUAUCACCUGGUAAAGGCAGAAAGCAUUUCAAAGUAAGAAAUGGCAGAAGAACAUUGCAGGAAGAGAAAGAGAGAAAGCGUAACAGAAUUGUCAGAGGGAAUAUUACCACACGCAUGAAUGGCCUCAGAGCACAUAAUUUUUUAGAAAUACAUUCUUUCUUUUACACCUCAUGCUUUUCCUCAGNCCUUCUCCUUGCUGAUUGCUUGCCAUGUGUCCUUGUGGUCUAACUAACUUUUCUCCCCUAUCCAGCUCAGCAUUGUUUUGGGUUUCAUUUUCUUUGCACGUUACAAUGCUUCCCCCAUUUAAGACAACCUUGUCCUCAAGGUUGAAAUCUGGAAAAGAUUUUUGUAUCUCACUUACAUCCUCCCAAGUAGCAGCAGCUAUAUCAAAUGAGUCCCAUUGAAUUAAUACUUGCGGAACUGGUUGUGAAUUUCUCAUAAUGAUUGGAUGAACACAUGGACCAACUUCAUUAGUUGUAAGGGGCAAGGGUAAAUAGGUGUGUGAGGGACUACCCUUAAAUGGCUUAAGCAAGGAUAUGUGGAAUACCGGGUGAAUUUUAGCAAUAUCAGGAAGCUUAAGUUUAUAAGCAACACUUCCAAUCCUGGCUACNACUUNAAAUGGACCAAAAUACCGCAUACUUAGUUUCUGAUUUCUCCUUAAGGCAACAGAAUGUUGUCUAUAAGGUUGUAACUUGACGAGUACCAAAUCACCAACAUCAAAGUGAAAAUCCCUUCGUCUUUUAUCUGCUUGUUGUUUCAUGUACUGCUGGGCCUUAGCUAGAUUAAAUUUCAAUUGCUGCAGUAGUGUAUCUCUAGCUGUGAGCAUAUCCUGAAUAGAAACUGGAUCAGUAGAAACAGUUUCAUAUCUGAUGAUAGUAGGAGGAUCUCUACCAUAUAAGGCCUUGAAGGGUGACAUUCCAAUACUCUGGUGCAAAGAAGAAUUGUACCAAAAUUGGGCCCAUGGAAGCAUAUCAUACCACCCUUUUGGAUUGUCAAAAACGAAGCAUCGAAGAUACAUUUCUAAGGUUUUAUUCAAGACCUCUGUCUGUCCAUCCGAUUGUGGAUGGUAUGAAGAACUCAUAGCCAAUGUAGUACCUUGAGCUUUGAAAAGAUGUUGCCAAAAGGAGCUAAUGAAAAUUUUGUCCCUGUCGGAAACAAUGGAACGAGGUACACCAUAUAAUUUCACUAUGUUGUUAACAAAAGCUUCAGCAACUAUCUUACUUGAAUAUUCAGCCUUGAGUGGAAUGAAAUGACCAAACUUGGAGAGUCGGUCUAUAACCACCAUAAUUGUUGAAUAUCCAUGCGACAUAGGCAAACAAGUGAUGAAAUCCAUUGCUAUAUCAUCCCAAACAUGUACUGGAAUUGGCAAAGGCUGAAGUAACCCUGCUGGUAAAGCUUGUUGUACCUUAGCUUGUUGGCAAAUUUGACAUUCACGAACAAAUUUUCGAAUCCUCUGUUGCAUUCCAGGCCAAAAGAAUUGAGAACAUAUUCUAGCCAUGGUUUUUGCAACUCCCGCAUGUCCUCCUACCUUUGAAGAAUGAAAUUCCAAUAACACCUGAAUUAUAAUAUUCUCCUCGACUGGUAACAUGAUACGACCCUUCCAAAACAAUAACCCAUCCUUAAUCCUAUAAUCUUGGGACUGUAACGGAUCUGCCAAACAUUGAUCAUAUAAUUCUUUCAACCUCACAUCUUUCUGAAUUGCUGCAACCACCACUUUAAACCAUUGAUUUGUUGGUUCGGACCAUGCCAUCAUAACACUCCGUGAUAACGCAUCAGCUGGUACAUUCUCCUUUCCCGGUUUAUAUUGAAUUGUGAAAUCAAAGCCCAAAAACUUCGGUAACCACUGCUGCUGCUCUGGAGUUUGCAAACGUUGUUCUACCAAUUCNUUUAAACUCUUUUGAUCUNUUUUAAUAAUAAACUUGUGGCCAAUAAGAUAGUGUCUAAAUUUCGCCAACGCCUCAGUAAUCGCAUAAAAUUCUCGUGUAUAUGCAGAUUGCCUUUGCAUUCUCACUGACAAUUUCUUUGAGAAAUAAGCUAUGGGAUGAUUANCCUGACUUAANACGNCUCCUACCCCCAAGCCAGACGCAUCCGUUUCCAAAAUAAAAGGAGCGGAAAAAUUGGGUAUAGCCAAAACAGGUGCUGUAGUGAGAGCUUCUUUCAAUUGCGUAAAAGCCUUGGUCGCUGUUUCAGUCCAUUUAAAAGCAUUCUUCUUCAACAAAUCUGUUAAUGGAGCUGCUAUUUGGGCAUACCCCUUGACGAAGCGGCGGUAAUAACCUGUAAGACCAAGGAAACCUCUCAGCUGUUUCAGAUUAAUUGGUCUUGGCCACAUUUUAACUGCCUCCACUUUUUUAUAAUCCAUAGCAACCCCAGAACCUGAGAGUGUGUGACCAAGAUAAUCUAUUUCCUCUACUCCAAAUGAACAUUUGGAGAACUUAGCAUAUAAUUGAUGAUGCUGUAAAAUCUGCAAAACCACUUCUAGAUGAUGCACAUGUUCCUUCAAUGAUGAGCUAUAGACAAGGAUAUCGUCGAAGAAAACUAAAACAAAUUUUCUCAAUAUUCCUUGAAAAAUAUGAUUCAUCAGGCUUUGAAAAGUAGCUGGAGCGUUUGUGAGUCCAAAUGGCAUGACAAGCCACUCGUAAUGUCCAUGAUGCGUACGAAAAGCCGUUUUAUAACAAUCCUUCGGAUUCAACAAGAUUUGAUGAUGCCCCGAUCUCAAAUCGAACUUAGAAAAGAUUGUUGCACCAAAAAGUUCAUCAAUUAACUCAUCAACAGUAGGUAUUGGAAAACUAUCCUUUAUAGUAAUAGCAUUCAAUGCUCUAUAGUCGGUACAAACUCUCCAAGACCCAUCCUUCUUUUUAACCAAUAGAAUAGGUGAAGAAAAGGGACUCUUACUAGGUUGAAUAAUCCCUUCCUGAAGCAUCUCUGUAACAAGCCUCUCAAUUUCCUCCUUUUGACUAUGAGGAUAACGAUAUGGCUUAACCUUAACUGGAUUUGAGCCUUCCAGUAAAGGAAUGGAAUGAUCGUGAGCACGCUGUGGAGGCAAAGUUGAAGGUGUAGCAAAAACAGAACUAUAUGUAUGCAGCAAUAAUGCAAUAUCAGGUGCUAUAGUCUCAGACAAUUCCAACAAAGGAAAAGAUUGAAUAUUGGGGUCCACCAUUUGCAUGCUAUAAACCUCAGCAAUGGAAUUAGUAGUGACCAUUCUGCGGAUAUGAUGCAAUUGAGCCUGCAUCGGUACAUGCUCAACAUCCCCUUGCAAUGUUACAAACUUACCAUUAUACAAGAAUUUGAGAUGCAAAGCUGCAUAAUCAUCCACAUGCGGGCCUAACGUUUUCAACCAGUUAGCUCCCAAAAUAAGAUCUGCACCUGAAAUUGGAAGCAAAUAUACUGGAAUUUGGAACACAUUCCCUUGAGCAUGUAAGUCUAGUUUUUGAAUCAACCCUUCUNCUNCCAUAUAAUUGUCGUUCCCAACCAUAACUUUGAACAUGGGAGCUGGUUCUAUAGGCAACUUCAAAAAUUUUGCAAGNCGAGGUUGUAGAAAAUUAUCUGAACUCCCUCCAUCCACUAAAACAGUCACAGGGAGCUUGUUAAUAUAAGCUAAAAAUCGAAUUGUACCCACCCCAACUCCUCCUUUGAGUGCAUUAAGUGAUAAAUGAUGGUCUUCACUUCCAACUUCUUGAGUAACAAUCUGGUGAUCAAGAUCAGGCGGUGGUUCAUAAUUAGGAUCCAACGAAUCUUCCUCUAAAUUCAAAAACAAAUACCGUCGAUUUGGGCAGCGAUGAUUAAAUGUAAAUUUAUCAUCACAAAAAUAACACAAGCCCUUUUCUCUGCGGAGUUGCAUCUCAGCUGGAGAUAUUUUUUUGACAUUAUUAUUAGUCACGGGUGGAAUCNUAGGUUUGGGUAAUAAUGGUGGAAGACUUGGUUUAACCAUUNGUUUGGAUUGUUGCNNUGAAGUAUGAAAACUCGUUGCAGCCACUGGAGAAUAACGUCGAACCGACACUNGCGAAGAUUGAAUUGUGGGUGAGUANCGAUCUUCAAAUAACUUCGCCAAGGCUACUGCUCGCAUCAAAGAAGUAGGUGUUUGGGCGACCACAUCACGUCUAAUUUCANCAUGUAACCCACUCAAGAAACAAUUUAAUAAAGCUUCAUUAGAUAAGCCCAUUGAUCUGUUUGCCAGUGACAUAAACUUCAGNUAAUANUNUGAAACCGUACUCNUUUGNUGUAAUUUAAACAGCUCUGCCAUUGGACAGUCAAAAGGAGAUGGACCAAACUGAGAUUCCAAUGCGCGUGUCAANUCUGUCCANGAGUGAACUGCANACAACCGUUGAAGCAUUUGAAACCAAGGCACCACAUCGUUUUCGAAAUGCAUUGCAGCAAUGUCUACUCGAUCNNCAUCAGGGGUAUGGUGGUAGUUAAAGAAUUUUUCAGCCUUAAAAAUCCAUUCUAACACCGAUGAUUGACCAUNGAAAUNGGGAAAUCCCAAGGAUAUGUCCUUAGCNGGUAANGGAACAUGNGAAGAAGCNGCUCCNGAAACGGCACCAUNGAACUGAGAUUGCGAUUUCACUAUUAACUCUAAAGAUUGUUGCAAUUUAUCCAUACGAGCUUGUGCAUCAACCUGAACUUGUUGGGUAUGAGCUCGUUGUUCCCUGUCCCGAAGUUCUAGAAGAUCCAUCAGUUUUCGAAGUUCAUCGGAAUGACCACGUACUUCAGCCUGUAAUUCCUUCAAACGGGUGUUCUCAGCCAUGGCGUCAAUGAAAGCACCAAAUGAAACAGAUAACUUCCAGAAGCAGAAUAUGAAAACAGAAUAUCACAACAGUAAGAUCUGUAAUAGCAGAAUUCUAUGUUUUUAUUGAACUUUAAACUGAAACAGAGAAUGUAAAGCUUCAAUACACCCAAUAAUGGUAUAUUUCACUUAAGGAGCAAAUUCCACCAAUGAUAUAUUCUGGAACAAUAUCACCUGGUAAAGGCAGAAAGCAUUUCAGAGUAAGAAAUGGCAGAAGAACAUUGCAGGAAGAGAAAGAGAGAAAGCAUAACAGAAUUGUCAGAGGAAAUAUUACCACACGCAUGAAUGGCCUCAGAGCACAUAAUCUUUUAGAAAUACAUUCUUUCUUUUACACCUCAUGCUUUUCCUCNGNNCUUCUCCUUGCUGAUUGCUUGCCAUGUGUCCUUGUGGUCUAACUAACUUUUCUCCCCUAUCCAGCUCAGNAUUGUUUUNGGUUUCAUUUUCUUUGC